CAACAAACACCCGGUGGCUCAGUCAGGCUCAGUCACCCCAUUCCUCCCGCCGCCGUCUCGGCUCCGCCGCCUCCUCUCCGAGCGCCGCCUUCCACCCCACCAAGCCGGGGCCCAUGGCGUUCGCCGCGCGGAGGAGCCUCGCCUCCCGCUUCUCCCACCACCUCACCCGCCGCUUCCACCCAUCCGUCCCGCAUCUGCUCACCCGCUCCAACGACGAUGAACCCCCGAGCCCCUCAUCUCAGCCACAGCCACUCCCGUCAUUCCGCUCCCCGCUCCCGCCCGCUUCCAGAGCAGCCCAAACCCUACACCACUUCCUCCCCUUCUCUCUCCACCACUCGGGGCUACCUCGCCGCGGCUUCUCCUCCUCCGCCCCCGCUCCGGACCCACCCGGAGAGGUUGAUGCUGCCGCGAGCGUCCUUGUCGACGCCGCGGAGGCGGUGGCUUCGUCGGUGCCGGCGCCGUUCCCGGGGGAGGUGGCAGCCGCCGCCGCCGACUCCUUCUUCCCCGUCGCCGCGCUGCAGUACCUCAUUGACUACGUACAUACCUUCACCGGUCUCAACUGGUGGGCUUGUAUCGCGUUAACGACGGUGCUGAUCCGGACCGCGACGAUACCAGUGCUGGUUAGCCAGCUGAAGUCCACCCAAAAGCUAAAUGCAAUAAAACCAGAGAUGGAAGCCGUUAAGGAUGCAAUGGAUAGUACGGAUCCAAAAACAGCGUUAGAGGGGAAGUAUAAAAUGACCGCACUCUUUCAAAAGCAUGGUGUUAGUCCAUUUAGUCCACUAAAAGGAAUGCUAAUCCAAGGUCCAAUGUUCAUGAGCUUUUUCUUUGCUAUAAAUAACAUGGUUGAGAAAGUCCCUUCAAUGAAAGGAGGAGGAGUAUUUUGGUUUACUGAUCUGACAACCCCGGAUCCUCUUUACAUCUGUCCUGUGUUAGCAGCACUGACCUUCUUGGCCACAGUGGAGCUUAACCUGCAGGAAGGGAUGGAGGGCAAUUCUAUGGCCGAUAAAAUGAAGACAUUUUCUAGAGGAAUGGCACUCAUGACAGUCCCGUUCACAAUGAAUUUUGCCAAGGGAAUUUUCUGUUACUGGGUCACGUCGAACUUGUUCUCCCUCGUAUAUGGUAUUGUUAUGCGUCGACCCGCUGUGAGGAAGUUGUUUAAUCUUCCUGCUUGGGAAGCUCCGUCUGCACCCGCACUGAAUUCAGCCUUGAAUAUGUUUGGUGGAUCCAAGGCAGUACCUUCAGCAAGGUCACCUUUAGCACUCACGGCAGCCCAGCAAUCUUCUUUGGAGAAACCUGAUGCUGCCGCUCUUGGGUAUCGGGUAAAAAAUCUUGAAAAGAAGGGGAAAUCUAGAGGCAAAUCUCGGAAGCGCAGGUAAACCAUGCGGCACAUAGGAGCUUAAUGAGAGAAAAAAAAGUCAUUUUGACCUCGUGGACGGUUGAGACUUGAUUUGUCCUGACAUGGUGCUAAGAUUUGAUUUUGCACAAGGAGGCCGCCAUUGAUUCUAAAUCACAUUGUGGGGUUGCUGUGGCCUUCUUCAGUGAAUAAGAGCGAUUUUGAUAUCAGUUUAUACACAAAUGUAAUUUGAGCAAGUUGCAACAAUUAAUCUUGGUGUUCAUCUUCCGUAAAUAGAGAUUAACCAGUUCCUCUGGAGUUUUAGAGAGCCUGGGUGACAAAAUGGGGUAAACUAUGAUGAUCGGGAAAAUUAGAUCAUACAGGUGCUUGG
Molecule: ribosomal RNA, 1724 nt
Filed under: Triticum aestivum (bread wheat)
Lineage: Eukaryota; Viridiplantae; Streptophyta; Magnoliopsida; Poales; Poaceae
Description: partial small subunit ribosomal RNA
Source: RNAcentral